Long non-coding RNA from Equus caballus (horse), 562 nucleotides. NCBI's taxonomy places the organism in Eukaryota, Metazoa, Chordata, Mammalia, Perissodactyla, Equidae. The record is from Ensembl.
UAGCACAUGCGAAAGAUGGAAAUAUGAAAAUUUGAGGCUCGUUUAAGACUGGCCAGUGGCCCUGAGUGACUGGACCAUAAAAAGGAGUGAAGAGGAGCCAGCGAACUCCCAUUGCUUUCCACUAUGCUCAGACCUUGAUGAGAAUCCCAGGCAGAGGCUGGCAGGAGGAGGGCUUCUUCACGGACCUCAGGGCAGUGGGCUUGCCCUGUUGGAGCCUGGCUCUUUGCCCUCUCGAUAAAGGCAUCUGCCAAAAGACCAUUCUCUGCUAUUCUGCCCAACUGUACCCAGAUCUCCAGCAGCUUUCUUCCCAUCAGAAACUCCUGGAUCAAGUUCCCGAGUCUCCAGGAAGCCUCCUUAAGCAAGAAGCAAAGCACCUACUGCAUAUGAGAUACUUUCAAAUCCAUAGGCUUGAUUAUUUCUCACCAUAUCCUUAUAAGGCAAGGAUUUUAGUUCCAUUUUACAGAGGAGGAGACUGAGGUUCAGAGAGGAGAAGAGAGUGGUUCAAGGUGAUCCAACUAGCAAGUGGAAGAGCUGGAGUUUAAAUCCAGGGCUGUUUGGCCCC